CCCGCUGAACUUAAGCAUAUCAGUAAGCGGAGGAAAAGAAACUAACAAGGAUUCCCCUAGUAACGGCGAGCGAAGCGGGAAGAGCUCAAAUUUAAAAUCUGGUAGGCUUUGCCUAUCCGAAUUGUAGUUUAAAGAGGCGUUAUCUGGGUCUAGUCUGGUGCGCAAGUCCCUUGGAAUAGGGCGUCACAGAGGGUGAGAACCCCGUUUGGGCACUGGGCUAGGUCCUCUAUGAGGCGCUCUCUACGAGUCGGGUUGUUUGGGAAUGCAGCUCAAAAUGGGUGGUAAAUUUCAUCUAAGGCUAAAUACUGGCAAGAGACCGAUAGCGAACAAGUACCGUGAGGGAAAGAUGAAAAGCACCUUGAAAAGGGAGUUAAAUAGUGCGUGAAAUUGUUAAAAGGGAAACGAUUGAGACCAGUAUUGUUGCCGGUCGCUCAGCGUAGCAUUGGUGCAAGCCUGUGCUGCGUGUAUUCGACUGGUAACGAGUCAGCGUCAGUUUGGGAGUCCGGAGAGAGGUCAGAGGAAGAUGGGUUCGGCUUUCGGGUCGUUCUUUUAUAGACUCUGGCUGGCACGGGAUCCUGGACUGAGGUUUGCGACUGCCGUACUCUCGGUUUGAGACCUGACCCCAAGUUUUCGGACUACACGUAGACCGACGUCGUAAGGAAGGGAGGUAGGGCCGAGCAGGUAGUUCCAGGAUGCUGACGAAAUGGUCUUAAACGACCCGUCUUGAAACACGG
This 734-nucleotide ribosomal RNA is filed under the name uncultured fungus. RNAcentral describes it as "eukaryotic LSU rRNA". It matches the Rfam family "Eukaryotic large subunit ribosomal RNA", at positions 24 to 664 of the family's 3401-position model. The record is from RNAcentral. Lineage: Eukaryota; Fungi.